AGCUGGCAUGGUGUAGUUGUUUAAGCAUUGGAUUACAACUCCUAGGAACCAGGGUUCGAAUCCCUGCUCAGCUA
Molecule: non-coding RNA, 74 nt
Organism: Phrynosoma platyrhinos (Desert horned lizard)
Lineage: Eukaryota; Metazoa; Chordata; Lepidosauria; Squamata; Phrynosomatidae
Source: the annotation of a GenBank genome assembly